GACCCCGUAGCAUAUGGUAUGCAGCCGUCCUCCUUGCCAUUUUGCGAAGGUAUUUCUGGAUGUGGAAGAACCCGGUUCGAUUCCGGGCGGGGUCU
This is a non-coding RNA of Mycena metata, 95 nucleotides long. Lineage: Eukaryota; Fungi; Basidiomycota; Agaricomycetes; Agaricales; Mycenaceae. The record is from the annotation of a GenBank genome assembly.